GAGUUGAUCCUGGCUCAGAUUGAACGCUGGCGGCAGGCCUAACACAUGCAAGUCGAGCGGUAGAGAGAAGCUUGCUUCUCUUGAGAGCGGCGGACGGGUGAGUAAUGCCUAGGAAUCUGCCUGGUAGUGGGGGAUAACGCUCGGAAACGGACGCUAAUACCGCAUACGUCCUACGGGAGAAAGCAGGGGACCUUCGGGCCUUGACGCUAUCAGAUGAGCCUAGGUCGGAUUAGCUAGUUGGUGAGGUAACUGGCGUCACCAAGGCGACGAUCCGGUAACUGGUCUGAGAGGACUGAUCAGUCACACUGGAACUGAGACACGGUCCAGACU
Molecule: ribosomal RNA, 330 nt
Filed under: uncultured bacterium
Lineage: Bacteria
Description: bacterial SSU rRNA
Rfam family: Bacterial small subunit ribosomal RNA
Source: RNAcentral